CACGUAGGGGCCGAGCGUUGUCCGGAUUCAUUGGGCGUAAAGCGCGCGUAGGCGGCUCGGAAAGUCGGUCGUGAAAUGCCGGGGCUCAACCCCGGGACUGCGUCCGAUACUUCCGGGCUGGAGGUAGGUAGGGGAGAUCGGAAUUCCUGGUGUAGCGGUGAAAUGCGCAGAUAUCAGGAGGAACACCGGUGGCGAAGGCGGAUCUCUGGGCCUUACCUGACGCUGAGGCGCGAAAGCUAGGGGAGCGAACAGG
Molecule: ribosomal RNA, 253 nt
Filed under: uncultured bacterium
Lineage: Bacteria
Description: partial 16S ribosomal RNA
Rfam family: Bacterial small subunit ribosomal RNA
Source: RNAcentral